This 446-nucleotide ribosomal RNA is filed under the name uncultured bacterium. RNAcentral's name for it is "bacterial SSU rRNA". It matches the Rfam family "Bacterial small subunit ribosomal RNA", at positions 329 to 792 of the family's 1533-position model. The record is from RNAcentral.
CUCCAGACUCCUACGGGAGGCAGCAGUGGGGGAUAUUGCACAAUGGGGGAAACCCUGAUGCAGCGACGCCGCGUGGGUGAAGAAGCGCCUCGGCGCGUAAAGCCCUGUCAGCAGGGAAGAAAAUGACGGUACCUGAAGAAGAAGCCCCGGCUAACUACGUGCCAGCAGCCGCGGCAAUACGUAGGGGGCAAGCGUUAUCCGGAUUUACUGGGUGUAAAGGGGGCGCAGACGGCGAUGCAGGCCAGGAGUGAAAGCCCGGGGCCCAACCCCGGGACUGCUCUUGGAACUGCGUGGCUGGAGUGCAGGAGGGGCAGGCGGAAUUCCUGGUGUAGCGGUGAAAUGCGUAGAUAUCAGGAGGAACACCGGUGGCGAAGGCGGCCUGCUGGACUGCAACUGACGUCGAGGCCCGAAAGCGUGGGGAGCAAACAGGAUUAGAUACCCGUGUA